GACGAACGCUGGCGGCGUGCUUAAUACAUGCAAGUCGAGCGAACAGACGAUGCGUUUGCGGCACUGACGUUAGGGGCGGGCGGGUGAGAAACACGUGGAUAACCCACCUAUAAGAGUGGGAUAACUUCGAGAAACCGGAGCUAAUACCGGAGAAUAUAUUGAACCGCAUGGUUGGAUAGUGAAAUACGGUUUUGCUGGCACUUAUAGCUGGAUCCUCGCCGCUUUAGGAAGUUGGUAAGGUAACGGCUUACGAAGGCAACGAUGCGUAGCCGACCUGCGAGGGUGAUCGGCCACACUGGAACUGGACCGCGGUCCAGAGUCCUACGGGAGGCAGCAGUCGGGAAUCUUCCGCAAUGGGCGGAAGCCUGACGGAGCAGCGCCACGUGAGUGAUGAAAGUCUUCGGAGCGGAAAACUCUGUUAUUGGGGAAGAACCAAUUUGUAAGUAACUAUGCACGUCUUGACGGUACCUAGUCAGAAAGCCACGGCUAACUACGUG
Molecule: ribosomal RNA, 497 nt
Filed under: uncultured bacterium
Lineage: Bacteria
Description: partial 16S ribosomal RNA
Rfam family: Bacterial small subunit ribosomal RNA
Source: RNAcentral